This 518-nucleotide ribosomal RNA is filed under the name uncultured bacterium. RNAcentral describes it as "bacterial SSU rRNA". It matches the Rfam family "Bacterial small subunit ribosomal RNA", at positions 8 to 518 of the family's 1533-position model. The record is from RNAcentral.
AGAGUUGAUUCUGGCUCAGGAUGAACGCUAGCUACAGGCUUAACACAUGCAAGUCGAGGGGCAGCAUGAUCAAGCUUGCUUGAUGAUGGCGACCGGCGCACGGGUGAGUAACGCGUAUCCAACCUUCCCUAUAGUAGUGGAUAGCCCGGCGAAAGUCGGAUUAAUACACUAUGUUGUAUUUAGAGGACAUCUGAAGAAUACCAAAGGUUUACCGCUAUAGGAUGGGGGAUGCGUCUGAUUAGAUAGUAGGCGGGGUAACGGCCCACCUAGUCGACGAUCAGUAGGGGUUCUGAGAGGAAGGUCCCCCACAUUGGAACUGAGACACGGUCCAAACUCCUACGGGAGGCAGCAGUGAGGAAUAUUGGUCAAUGGACGGGAGUCUGAACCAGCCAAGUAGCGUGCAGGAUGACGGCCCUAUGGGUUGUAAACUGCUUUUAUACGGGGAUAAAGUGAGCCACGUGUGGCUUUUUGUAGGUACCGUAUGAAUAAGGACCGGCUAAUUCCGUGCCAGCAGCAGC